This 838-nucleotide ribosomal RNA is filed under the name uncultured Bacillota bacterium. RNAcentral's name for it is "bacterial SSU rRNA". It matches the Rfam family "Bacterial small subunit ribosomal RNA", at positions 61 to 914 of the family's 1533-position model. The record is from RNAcentral. Lineage: Bacteria; Bacillati; Bacillota.
GUCGAGCGGAGUUGUUGAGAAGCUUGCUUCGAUACAACUUAGCGGCGGACGGGUGAGUAACGCGUGGGCAACCUGCCCUGUACAGAGGGACAACAACGGGAAACCGUUGCUAAUACCUCAUAAAACCCUAAAGGGGCAUCCCUUAUGGGUCAAAGAAUUUCGGUACAGGAUGGGCCCGCGUCUGAUUAGCUAGUUGGUGAGGUAAUGGCUCACCAAGGCGACGAUCAGUAGCCGACCUGAGAGGGUGAUCGGCCACACUGGAACUGAGACACGGUCCAGACUCCUACGGGAGGCAGCAGUGGGGAAUAUUGCACAAUGGGGGAAACCCUGAUGCAGCAACGCCGCGUGAGCGAUGAAGGCCUUCGGGUCGUAAAGCUCUGUCCUAAGGGAAGAAUUUUGACGGUACCUUAGGAGGAAGCCCCGGCUAACUACGUGCCAGCAGCCGCGGUAAUACGUAGGGGGCAAGCGUUAUCCGGAAUCACUGGGCGUAAAGGGUGCGUAGGCGGUCUUACAAGUCAGGGGUGAAAGGCUACGGCUCAACCGUAGUAAGCCUUUGAAACUGUAGGACUUGAGUGCAGGAGAGGAAAGUGGAAUUCCUAGUGUAGCGGUGAAAUGCGUAGAUAUUAGGAGGAACACCAGUGGCGAAGGCGACUUUCUGGACUGUAACUGACGCUGAGGCACGAAAGUGUGGGGAGCAAACAGGAUUAGAUACCCUGGUAGUCCACACCGUAAACGAUGAGUGCUAGGUGUUGGGGGUCGAACCUCAGUGCCGCAGCUAACGCAUUAAGCACUCCGCCUGGGGAGUACGCUCGCAAGAGUGAAACUCAAAGGAAUUGAC